CAACAAAACUUAACAUCCUUGGGAUCUAUAUUUUUUGCUCUGACAUCUGUAAUCACCUCACUAUUAUUAGAGUAUCUUUAUUAAAAUUUCCCAAUUUGUGCUAAUAACGAGACUUUUAAAGUGUUCUUCAAUAAGUCAAUCUCAGAACUCACUUUUAAUAUUUUUUAAGUGCUGGAGGGAAAAAAAAACUUGAAUAUGGAGGUAGAAGACAAAGUUAUAAUUGCUAAUCCAAAUAAAUAAAAUACGAUGUACGUAACUUUAAAAAAAUCGUAACAAUCUUUUGUUUGUGUUUUCCGGCCGUUCUCCACGUUUGCUACACUACUAUUUCAGUAAUCUUAAUAAUUCUCUGAAGAAGACAAUGUUUUCAUAGUGUUCGACUAGAUAGACUGAGAGUCACACAUUUUAUUUUUGUUUUGUGACAUUUGUGGCUCUUCAGCGUGACACUGGCAUUCUUCCUCCUCUGAUGCAACUUCCUUCUCUGUUUCACUCUGUUUUGGUCGAGGUUGUUUCAACCUCCCCCCUUCUCUGUGCAGUCUUUCAGCCGGACCAGGAGAGCCCGAGCUGUCGCUUUGUUUUCUGAACAUCCACUUCUGUUUCCUGUGGCAACACCUGCAGAUAAAUACGUAGCUGGCUACCCAAACGGACACUGCCCGCACCCCCCAGACGCUCUCCUCCGCAGGCCCGCGCAGACCCAGGUAUGCGCGCACAUGCGUGCUCAGCUCCUCCACCCUCCCCCCGGGGAGCUCAGAGGACUCCAGCUGUUUUCCGGCCCUGGCAGCAGAAGCGGCUGCAGAGCCUCUAAUGUUCCUUCUCUGGAACCGGCGCUGAUCGUGCUGCUGCUGCUGCCGCCAGAGAAGGAUUUAAGUCACCUGGACUGAGGAGAAGACCGCUGAACCGUGUCAAGACGGUGGAGCCAGAUACUUCAGGCUAUUUGAAGCCAUCAGAGGGGAAGGAACCAGACUUGGGGUUCCUCCGCCCGAAGCGUGUUGCCCGCAUUGUUGACAACCACGUACUGAUAUUUCAAGACUCAGCUCAAGCAUAAUAAUCUCUUUCUGAAGCUUUUCCUGAUAGGCUGCCUGGCCCUUCUAUACCUGUAACAUCGUUAUUUCAUUUAGUUAUCAUUGGAAAUGAAGAGCCCACUGUGAUGGUGUGAGGAUGCCCCCCCCCCUCCCGCCCCCAAACAUGUGAAAAUAACUCAGCAAAAAACAGAGCAGCUGCCUGGUCAUCUUCCCCAUCACUGGGAUUUCUUUAGGUAACCAAUAAAUAGGAGCAUAGAGUUGGUAGAGGGAGCCAAUGUUUCCAGAAGAAACCGUGCCACUCCAAAGGAAAAUUAGAAAAGGAGAAAGUGACCCUUGAAUAAAGAAGAGUUUAUGCAUUUAAAGACCCCUCUCCGGGAUUCUUGGCAGGAAGAGUUCACUUUCCUGCUGCAUCAGGGAUUGGAAGGCUAUUCCUCUGUCCAUGGUCCUAUUCCUCUGCUUCAAACAACUUUAGAAGAAUCCAGAGGGAGGUUCAAAUCUGCAAUGUAGAAAAGCAUUGAAGUGUUCUAGAUACAGCUGAGAAGCUGAGAGAAGACGGAAUUUGUGGGUAUAGCAGAUCUUUGGAAUCUUUGAAAAGAAGUUCUGUCGGCAGUAGAUCCCACCAGCAGAAGGGGAUCCUGCUGGACAGCCAUUCUUUUCAAUAUUGAUGAACAGCAUCUAUCCGUGGAGUGAGCUCCACUUGAGCUGAAGCCUGCUUGGUAAGAAUGACACUAUCAUCUCCCUAACAUUUCAUAUUCUGAAAGAAAGCCCUUCCCAUUCCUGAUGCUUCUCAUCAUUUUUUCCCAACACUCCAGUAAGACCAGUCAACAUUCACCUGUGCUUUUAUAGCGGUGAAGAGAGACUGACAAACUCAGUGACUCAACUGAGAAAGAUAUUUUAUGGGCAGCCCAUGGUAGUCGCCUCUCUUUUAAAAAGAAACAACAUUUUUUGAGAUCCCAGGAGGUGUCUGGCACUACACGAAGUGGUAUGAGCAUGAGAGUGCAGAACAUAAUGUUUGGGAACAUAAUGUUCCUCCGGGGACUUAAAAAUUAAUGCAGAUCCAAAACUGUUUAAAAAAAUGUGGGUUGUAAUAAAUUAUGGGAAAACAAAGUGAAAGGUGUAGGGGCAAAAAUCCCAAGCAUAGUGAUGAACUAGAGAACAUGGAAAUGGAAUAUGAUGAGCCAAUUAACCUCAGGAGAACAGAGACUCCAUGGUAUGGGCAGAAUACAAGACACUUAUCUUGAGAAGUCAAUUUUGCAGGCUCAGUUACUUGUCCACACACACAAGAUCAAUAGCUAUUUCUGAUAGGCUGCUGGCAAAAAAAAAAAAAAAAUACUGUUCUUUUCUAUAGAUGGAGUCUAAACCAUCCAGCAUACAAUAAAGGGUUUAAGAGAAAAAAUAUAUGUGGGCUGGCAAUCUUUCAAUCUGUAAGGCUGGUGAUCUAGUUUUGGGUGAUAGCUCUAAUGGAAAUAGGUGCAAUUGGGUUUGUAGAUACUGAUUUUUAUCAGCAACCAGAAACUGUGCUAAAAGCUCAAUUUGGCCUACUUUAGGUUCCCCGGCGAAGUUAGCGAGGGAAUUUUCAUUAGGUUAUUUGAAGAAUAAGAAGAAAUAAAGCAAUGCAUGAACACCGUGAUAUGUAGGUGAGAAGGUAUCUUAAUAGAAAUAGUACUCUAGUCUAGAACAGUGUUUCCCCACCAAGGUGAUGGAAAGUACUGGGAAAUGCAGAGACCUAACUUGUGCUCAGACUGAGCUUUCUUCAUUGCCCCGGCUUUCCAGUUUUAAUAACUUCAGCCUUGCUAACCUGCCAGUACUAGGGAAGUCAGUUUCAUGUACUGAUGUCAGCCUCUAAUUUGAACUCCCUCAUGGUCAUUGCAACUUUGUUCACUUUUGUAAUUAUUUUUUCACAUUUUCUUGUUUUAUAGCAAUACGGAAAGAUAAAAAUACCUAGAAAUGUUUUUUUUUUCCAAUGUUGAAGGGAAUAAUUUAGACAGUCACUUCCACAUGGAUAUCUAAUAGGCAUCUCAAACUGAGUACGGCCAAAAGAGAAGUCUUGAUUCUUUCUCUUAAUCUUCUUGAAUCAAACAACCCCAAGAGGCUUAAAUAGAGUUUUACUUUUUUCAUAAAGAGAUGUCUGGAAAUAGGUUAUUUCUGGUGUUAAUUCAGCUGCUCAACUACACCAUCAAGGACCUAGGUAGUUUCUCUUUUUUCCUGUCGCUAUCCUUAACAUGUUGGCCUUUAA
Neofelis nebulosa (Clouded leopard) is the source of this 3255-nucleotide long non-coding RNA. RefSeq lists it as uncharacterized. The transcript is spliced from 3 exons. The record is from RefSeq and is a predicted model, not a curated record. Lineage: Eukaryota; Metazoa; Chordata; Mammalia; Carnivora; Felidae.